AGUGAACGCUGGCGGUAGGCCUAACACAUGCAAGUCGAACGGCAGCACAGUAAGAGCUUGCUCUUACGGGUGGCGAGUGGCGGACGGGUGAGGAAUACAUCGGAAUCUACUUUUUCGUGGGGGAUAACGUAGGGAAACUUACGCUAAUACCGCAUACGACCUACGGGUGAAAGCAGGGGAUCUUCGGACCUUGCGCGAUUGAAUGAGCCGAUGUCGGAUUAGCUAGUUGGCGGGGUAAAGGCCCACCAAGGCGACGAUCCGUAGCUGGUCUGAGAGGAUGAUCCGCCACACUGGAACUGAGACCCGGUCCCGACCCCUACGGGGGGCAGCAGGGGGGAAUAUUGGAAAAUGGGCGCAAGCCUGAUCCAGCCAUACCGGGGGGGUGAAGAAGGCCUUCGGGUUGUAAAGCCCUUUUGUUGGGAAAAAAAAGCAGCAGGUUAAAACCCCGCUGUUCUGACGGUACCCAAAGAAUAAGCACCGGCUAACUUCGU
RNAcentral lists this ribosomal RNA (491 nucleotides) under uncultured bacterium. RNAcentral's name for it is "partial 16S ribosomal RNA". It matches the Rfam family "Bacterial small subunit ribosomal RNA", at positions 29 to 506 of the family's 1533-position model. The record is from RNAcentral.